AACGUAGGGGGCGAGCGUUAUCCGGAUUUAUUGGGCGUAAAGCGCGCGUAGGCGGCAUGUCAAGUUGGACGUGAAAGCUCGUGGCUCAACUGGGAGAGGACGUACAAAACUGACAAGCUUGAGGGUGGAAGAGGAGAGUGGAAUUCCCGGUGUAGAGGUGGAAUGCGUAGAUAUCGGGAGGAACACCAGUGGCGAAGGCGGCGCCCUGGUCUGGUACUGACGCUGAGGCGCGAAAGCGUGGGGAGCAAACAGG
RNAcentral lists this ribosomal RNA (253 nucleotides) under uncultured bacterium. Its description in RNAcentral is "partial 16S ribosomal RNA". It matches the Rfam family "Bacterial small subunit ribosomal RNA", at positions 524 to 776 of the family's 1533-position model. The record is from RNAcentral.